Molecule: long non-coding RNA, 455 nt
Organism: Photinus pyralis (common eastern firefly)
Lineage: Eukaryota; Metazoa; Arthropoda; Insecta; Coleoptera; Lampyridae
Exons: 2
Source: RefSeq, a predicted model, not a curated record
GGAACAUCUGGCAACAUUGUAAUUAGUUUGUUUUCUAACCUCUGUGAAGUUUUCAUCAUUGAAUUGUUUUCAUUUCUGAUUAUUAAUUUACGUGUAUUGAUUGGUGGUCAUAUAUCUAGGUUUUACUUAAAACUUAAAUAUGGAUGAAGGGGAUGUUUUGAGUCGUCUCAGAAGAACAAUAGCAAGUGCUUGUAGAUUAUAUGAAACUACAAAACAAUUCCCACAUUCACAUUUGCACUUUGGAAUUUGGAUUUCUUGUCGGUCCCUGCUUCGAUUAGACGUGAAGUGAUAUCGAGCCAACCGAUAUCUCACGUUAGGAGUGCAGUCGUAACUUAAUUCUUAAAAGGAAGCCAAUCAGAGCGGAGUUUCUGAUCAACUUUGUUUAUGUGGCUACUGCUCUGCAAUGUGCUGUGAACCUGAUAUUUUGUAAUAUAAUAUAAGGGUUUAUAUUUGUA